UGACCGUGGCGGUGUAGGUGGAAGCAGUGAUGGAGGAGGAGGAUGAGGUAGCCAACACUGUUUUUUUAUAUAUUUAUAUAUUUUUUUAAAUGGGGUAGCCCCCAAAAUAUUGGGACAUAUAAAAAAAGACAACUCUGUUCCGCAGAGUAGGUGUUAACAUUAUAGUUGCUCAGGCACUUUGUUGACUCUGGAGAACCUCGGGCCAAGAGCACAUCCCCGUGACGGCGACUUUGCAUUUUGGAUGUCAUCCAUAUCAACUUUCGAUAGCAGUUUCUGCGCCUACCAUGGUGACCACGGGUAACGGGAAAUCAGGGUUCCAUUUCAUACAGGGACCCUGAGAAACGUCUACCACAUUCAAGGAAGGCAGCAAGCGCAAAUGACCCACUCCCUACGUGGGAAGGUAGUAACAACAAAUAACAAUACAGGACUCUUAGAGGGCCUAUAAUUGUAAUGAGUCCACUUGAAAUCCUUUAGCUCUGAUCAAUUGGAGGGAAGUCUGGUGCAGAGCCACUGACCCGUGCGUGCUGCAGUUGAAACUCCACU
This is a non-coding RNA of Pelobates cultripes (western spadefoot toad), 543 nucleotides long. The record is from the annotation of a GenBank genome assembly. Lineage: Eukaryota; Metazoa; Chordata; Amphibia; Anura; Pelobatidae.